GACGAACGCUGGCGGCGUGCUUAACACAUGCAAGUCGAACGGAAAGGCCCUGCUUUUGUGGGGUGCUCGAGUGGCGAACGGGUGAGUAACACGUGAGUAACCUGCCCUUGACUUUGGGAUAACUUCUGGAAACUGGGGCUAAUAUCGGAUAGGAGCUCCUGCUGCACGGUGGGGGUUGGAAAGUUUCGGCGGUUGGGGAUGGACUCGCGGCUUAUCAGCUUGUUGGUGGGGUAGUGGCUUACCAAGGCUUUGACGGGUAGCCGGCCUGAGAGGGUGACCGGCCACAUUGGGACUGAGGUACGGCCCAGACUCCUACGGGAGGCAGCAGUGGGAAAUCUUGCACAAUGGGCGGAAGCCUGAUGCGAAAACGCCGCGUGCGGGAUGACGGCCUUCGGGUUGUAAACCGCUUUCGCCUGUGACGAAGCGUGAGUGACGGUAAUGGGUAAAAAAGCACCGGCUAACUACGUG
This 468-nucleotide ribosomal RNA is filed under the name uncultured bacterium. RNAcentral describes it as "partial 16S ribosomal RNA". It matches the Rfam family "Bacterial small subunit ribosomal RNA", at positions 28 to 507 of the family's 1533-position model. The record is from RNAcentral.